Molecule: ribosomal RNA, 497 nt
Filed under: uncultured bacterium
Lineage: Bacteria
Description: partial 16S ribosomal RNA
Rfam family: Bacterial small subunit ribosomal RNA
Source: RNAcentral
GAUGAACGCUGGCGGCGUGCCUAAUACAUGCAAGUCUAGCGAACGGACGAGAAGCUUGCUUCUCUGAUAUUAGCGGCGGACGGGUGAGUAACACGUGGAUAACCUACCUAUAAGACUUGGAUAACUUCGGGAAACCGGAGCUAAUACCGGAUAAUAUCUUGAACCGCAUGGUUCAAAAGUGAAAGACGGUCUUGCUGUCACUUAUCGAUGCAUCCGCACUGCAUUAGCUAGUUGGUAAGGUAACGGCUUACCAAGGCAACGAGGAAUAGCCGAACUAAGAGAAUGAUCGGCAGCACUAGAACUAAGACAAGGUCAAGAAUACUACGGGAUGCGGGAGUAGGGAAGAUUUAACAAAAGGCGAAAACCUGACGGAGGAACGACGCGUGAGUGAUGAAGAUCGUCGAAAAAUAAAACACUGUUAUUAGGGAAGAAAAGAUGUGUGAGUAACAGUGCAGAAAUUGACGGUACCUAAUCAGGAAGCGACGGCUAAAUACGUG